GUCUUUUUGUUAAAAAUUUAAAGUCGGGCCUGCCCACUGAAAUUUUGAAUGGCCGUGGUAUUUUGACCAUGCUAAGGUAGCAUAAUUAUUAGUUUUUUAAUUGAAAGCUGGAAUGAAAGGUUUGAUAAAAAAAUGACUGUCUCUGUUUAAUUUUAUUAAAAAUUUAUUUUUAAGUUCAAAAGCUUAAUUUUAAUUAAAAGACGAGAAGACCCUAUAGAGUUUAAUAAUUUAAGAUAAUUUAUAUUUUAGAAUUAACUUAUUUAUUUUUUAAUAUUAUUUAAUUGGGGUGAUUGAAAAAUUUAAUUAACUUUUUUUAUAUUUAACCAUUAAUUUAUGAUAAUUUGAUCCAAUUUUUUGAUUAUAAGAUAAAAUUACCUUAGGGAUAACAGCGUAAUUUUUUUAGAAAGUUCAAAUUAAAAGAAAAGAUUGCGACCUCGAUGUUGGAUUAAAAUUAAAUUUUGGUGUAGAAGCUAAAAACUUUAAGUCUGUUCGACUUUUAAAAUUUUACA
RNAcentral lists this ribosomal RNA (509 nucleotides) under Calligrapha philadelphica. RNAcentral describes it as "partial 16S ribosomal RNA". The stretch from base 382 to 509 matches the Rfam family "Bacterial large subunit ribosomal RNA", at positions 2473 to 2600 of the family's 2925-position model. The record is from RNAcentral. RNAcentral also lists the same sequence under 2 other names. Lineage: Eukaryota; Metazoa; Arthropoda; Insecta; Coleoptera; Chrysomelidae.